Molecule: long non-coding RNA, 269 nt
Organism: Melitaea cinxia (Glanville fritillary)
Lineage: Eukaryota; Metazoa; Arthropoda; Insecta; Lepidoptera; Nymphalidae
Exons: 2
Source: RefSeq, a predicted model, not a curated record
UAAAAACUAGUGUUCGAAUUUUGUCCCAAACAUUUUUGAACAGUCCUCUGUCACAAUUUGAAUAUCGCGCCACAAAAAUAUUAAACACUAUUGUGGUUACAUUUCGCGUGAAACAGAACGUUAACAGUGUGAAGUUUGCUCGGUCGUCAUGCUAAAGAAGUCGCCGCCAUUUUGCGCAGUGACAACUCCGCGUUUGUGUGAGAGCCACGUCUCUGCAAUGUUGAGUAAACAUUCCUCUGUAUUGCCGCAAUGCCCCCAAAGAAGAAACC